Molecule: ribosomal RNA, 254 nt
Filed under: uncultured bacterium
Lineage: Bacteria
Description: partial 16S ribosomal RNA
Rfam family: Bacterial small subunit ribosomal RNA
Source: RNAcentral
UACGUAGGGGGCGAGCGUUGUCCGAAGUUACUGGGCGUAAAGCGCGCGUAGGCGGCUUCUUAAGUCUGAGGUGAAAGGUUCAACGCUCAACGUGAACAGUGCCUUGGAUACUGGGAGGCUUGAGUAUGGGAGAGGGCAGUGGAAUGGCUGGUGUAGCGGUGAAGUGCGUAGAUAUCAGUCGGAACACCCAUGGCGAAGGCAGCUGCCUGGCCUAAUACUGACGCUGAGGUGCGAAAGCGUGGGGAGCAAACAGG